This 483-nucleotide ribosomal RNA is filed under the name uncultured bacterium. Its description in RNAcentral is "partial 16S ribosomal RNA". It matches the Rfam family "Bacterial small subunit ribosomal RNA", at positions 28 to 507 of the family's 1533-position model. The record is from RNAcentral.
GACGAACGCUGGCGGCGUGCUUAACACAUGCAAGUCGAACGCUGAAGCUCAGCUUUUGUUGGGUGGAUGAGUGGCGAACGGGAGAGUAACACGUGAGUAACCUGCCUCCUUCUUUGGGAUAACGCCCGGAAACGGGUGCUAAUACUGGAUAUUCACUGGUCUUCGCAUGGGGGUUGGUGGAAAGGGUUUUUCUGGUGGGGGAUGGGCUCGCGGCCUAUCAGCUUGUUGGUGGGGUGAUGGCCUACCAAGGCUUUGACGGGUAGCCGGCCUGAGAGGGUGACCGGUCACAUUGGGACUGAGAUACGGCCCAGACUCCUACGGGAGGCAGCAGUGGGGAAUAUUGCACAAUGGGCGCAAGCCUGAUGCAGCGACGCCGCGUGAGGGAUGGAGGCCUUCGGGUUGUGAACCUCUUUCGCUCAUGGUCAAGCCGCAACAAUGGUUGCGGUGAGGGUAGUGGGUAAAGAAGCGCCGGCUAACUACGUG